AGCGGGUUAGAGCAGUCUGGAAGCUCGUGAGGCCCAUAACCUCAAGGUCGGCAGUUCAAAUCUGUCACCCGCAA
RNAcentral lists this transfer RNA (74 nucleotides) under Lachnospiraceae bacterium. RNAcentral's name for it is "tRNA-Met". It matches the Rfam family "tRNA". From Rfam's summary of the family: Transfer RNA (tRNA) molecules are approximately 80 nucleotides in length. Their secondary structure includes four short double-helical elements and three loops (D, anti-codon, and T loops). Further hydrogen bonds mediate the characteristic L-shaped molecular structure. tRNAs have two regions of fundamental functional importance: the anti-codon, which is responsible for specific mRNA codon recognition, and the 3' end, to which the tRNAs corresponding amino acid is attached (by aminoacyl-tRNA synthetases). tRNAs cope with the degeneracy of the genetic code in two manners: having more than one tRNA (with a specific anti-codon) for a particular amino acid; and 'wobble' base-pairing, i.e. permitting non-standard base-pairing at the 3rd anti-codon position. Lineage: Bacteria; Bacillati; Bacillota; Clostridia; Lachnospirales; Lachnospiraceae. The record is from RNAcentral.